GACGAACGCUGGCGGCGUGCUUAACACAUGCAAGUCGAACGGAAAGGCCCUGCUUUUGUGGGGUGCUCGAGUGGCGAACGGGUGAGUAACACGUGUGUAUCCUGCCCUUGACUUUGGGAUAACUUCAGGAAACUGGGGCUAAUAUCGGAUAGGAGCUCUUGCUGCACGGUGGGGGUUGGAAAGUUUCGGCGGUUGGGGAUGGACUCGCGGCUUAUCAGCUUGUUGGUGGGGUAGUGGCUGACCAAGGGUUUGACGGGUAGCCGGCCUGAGAGGGUGGCCGGCCACAAUGGGACUAAGGGACGGCGCAGACGCCUACGGGAGGCAGCGGUGGGGAGUAUUGCGCAGUGAGCGGAAGCCUGAUGCGGCGGCGCCGCGUGCGGAAUGACGGCCUUCGGGUUGUAAACCGCUUUCGCCUGUGACGAGGCGUGAGUGACGGUAAUGAGUAAGGAAGCACCGGCUAACUACGUG
This 468-nucleotide ribosomal RNA is filed under the name uncultured bacterium. RNAcentral describes it as "partial 16S ribosomal RNA". It matches the Rfam family "Bacterial small subunit ribosomal RNA", at positions 28 to 507 of the family's 1533-position model. The record is from RNAcentral.